AAACGAGAAUUUUAAUUGUCCGAUUUCCAGAUAUCUGAAUUAGUUGUUGCUGCUUCUAAGCCAGGCAAAAUUAAACUUGUUGAGACGGGGAAAAAUGCACUAUGCCUUCGCCAAGAUUCGAGCACCAGACCUCCAGAUUACUAGCCGGACGUUUUAUCCAGUUACAUCACGAAGACUCGUGAAAAGGAGGAAGGAAAUACCUUCAAUGUAGCAGCAAUUCCGGAUGAUGCAAGAGCCAGUACAAUGUGUAUCUUAACUCGUACUUUUGCCAGUAAAAGAUUAAUGAUUUGUGAGAAAAGUUUUUCCAGUACCACCUGAGGGGCAAUUUAA
Stegodyphus dumicola is the source of this 330-nucleotide long non-coding RNA. The record is from RefSeq and is a predicted model, not a curated record. NCBI's taxonomy places the organism in Eukaryota, Metazoa, Arthropoda, Arachnida, Araneae, Eresidae.